AGUGAACGCUGGCGGUAGGCCUAACGCAUGCAAGUCGAACGGCAGCACAGUAAGAGCUUGCUCUUACGGGUGGCGAGUGGCGGACGGGUGAGGAAUACAUCGGAAUCUACUUUUUCGUGGGGGAUAACGGAGGGAAACUUACGCUAAUACCGCAUACGACCUACGGGUGAAAGCAGUGGAUCUUCGGACCUUGCGCGAUUGAUUGAGCCGAUGUCGGAUUAGCUAGUUGGCGAGGUAAAGGCCCACCAAGGCGACGAUCCGUAGCUGGUCUGAGAGGAUGAUCAGCCACACUGGAACUGAGACACGGUCCAGACUCCUACGGGAGGCAGCAGUGGGGAAUAUUGGACAAUGGGCGAAAGCCUGAUCCAGCCAUACCGCGUGAGUGAAGAAGGCCUUCGGGUUGUAAAGCCCUUUUGUUGGGAAAGAAAAGCAGCAGGUUAAUCCACCGCUGUUCUGACGGUACCCAAAGAAUAAGCACCGGCUAACUUCGUG
RNAcentral lists this ribosomal RNA (492 nucleotides) under uncultured bacterium. RNAcentral describes it as "partial 16S ribosomal RNA". It matches the Rfam family "Bacterial small subunit ribosomal RNA", at positions 29 to 507 of the family's 1533-position model. The record is from RNAcentral.